GAUGAAGAACGUAGCGAAAUGCGAUAAGUAAUGUGAAUUGCAGAAUUCAGUGAACCAUCGAAUCCUUGAACGCACAUUGCGCCCGGCAGUAAUCUGCCGGGCAUGCCUGUCCGAGCGUCAUUUCUCCCCUCGAGCGCAGCUUUCCCCCCCGGGGGAGGGCCGCGCCCGGUGUUGGGGCGCUACGGAGGAGCCCAGCGCUCCCCCGUAGGCCCCGAAAUGUAGUGGCGGUCCCGCCGCGGCGCCCCCUGCGUAGUAGUUUUACAACUCGCAUCGGGUCCCGGCGGAGGCCAGCCGUCAAACCCCCCAACUUCAAUAGUUUGACCUCGGAUCAGGUAGGGUUACCCGCUGAACUUAAGCAUAUCAAUAAGCGGAGGA
This 375-nucleotide unclassified non-coding RNA is filed under the name soil metagenome. RNAcentral describes it as "partial contains 5.8S ribosomal RNA, internal transcribed spacer 2, and large subunit ribosomal RNA". The stretch from base 1 to 120 matches the Rfam family "5.8S ribosomal RNA", at positions 35 to 154 of the family's 154-position model. The record is from RNAcentral.